This 250-nucleotide ribosomal RNA is filed under the name uncultured bacterium. RNAcentral's name for it is "partial 16S ribosomal RNA". It matches the Rfam family "Bacterial small subunit ribosomal RNA", at positions 525 to 774 of the family's 1533-position model. The record is from RNAcentral.
ACGGAGGGUGCGAGCGUUAAUCGGAAUUACUGGGCGUAAAGCGUAUGUAGGCGGUUUGAUCAGUCGGAUGUGAAAUCCCCGAGCUUAACUUGGGAAUGGCAUUCGAAACUAUCAAGCUAGAGUAGGCUAGAGGAAAGGGGAAUUCCGCGUGUAGCAGUGAAAUGCGUAGAUAUGCGGAGGAACACCAAUGGCGAAGGCACCUUUCUGGGGUCAUACUGACGCUGAGAUACGAAAGCGUGGGGAGCAAACA